This 770-nucleotide long non-coding RNA is filed under the name Monodelphis domestica (gray short-tailed opossum). RNAcentral describes it as "lncRNA (ENSMODG00000031156.2)". The record is from RNAcentral. Lineage: Eukaryota; Metazoa; Chordata; Mammalia; Didelphimorphia; Didelphidae.
UACAGACACAGAGAUUAAGGGUGUGAGGCUGCUUAGCUCCUGCUGCUCUGGGGAGUUCUGGGAUCUGCGGGAGGAGGGAGAAAGAGAAGAAAAGGCAGACACCCCAAAUUCAACCAGCACAUAUGCAAAAUAGCCAGUGAAGCUGUAGCAGAAAGACAGUUGGGCUGGGAAUUGAGAUCUGAGUUCUCAUCUUGGGCCAGAAGUUAAUUUACUGCCUGAUCAUAGACAAGUCACUUCUUCCUCCUUGGAACUCAGUUUCCUCUUCAGUAAAUUGAGUGGAGUGGGCUAGGUGACUUUGAAGCUGCCCUGUGAAAGAAAAGGGAUUCUUACAGUGAGUGAGAUAGCCUCUCAGGUCCCCUGCUCCAGUUCUAAGAUUCUGGGAUUAUAAGUCAUGGGCACUUAAGAGGAAAAGUGAAUUGAGUGUUGGAGUUGGAGUAGGAAGAGUCAUCAAAUGGUACCUGCUUGUUUUCAUCUGUCCAUUCUACAGGGGGAAGGAAAUCUUUAGGCUUGGGCUAGACAUUCCCCUAGCUGAGAGUGUGGUCUCUGCUCAUGACAUAGCUUCUUAGGACCACAGUCAAAACUCCAGCCUGGCAUGGGCCCACCACAAGCACAGGAGAGUUUGUUGACUGCUCCAUUAAACUAAUUCAUACUAAGGAGUUGAUGACUGACUCCACCUGCAGGAGGAGGAAGCAUUUUUAAGAGAGGUAAUCUCUUAUCCCAGAGGGAAUGAAUCUUUCAUAAUGGAAUUCCAGGCCCUGUGGAAUGUGGGU